This 72-nucleotide transfer RNA is filed under the name Ailuropoda melanoleuca (giant panda). It matches the Rfam family "tRNA". Rfam says of the family: Transfer RNA (tRNA) molecules are approximately 80 nucleotides in length. Their secondary structure includes four short double-helical elements and three loops (D, anti-codon, and T loops). Lineage: Eukaryota; Metazoa; Chordata; Mammalia; Carnivora; Ursidae. The record is from Rfam by way of RNAcentral.
ACCUGGCUGGCUCAGAUGGUAGAGCACGGGACUCUUGAUCUUGGGGUUGUCAGUUCAACCCCACGUUGGGUG